Long non-coding RNA from Penaeus indicus, 1117 nucleotides. RefSeq lists it as uncharacterized. The record is from RefSeq and is a predicted model, not a curated record. NCBI's taxonomy places the organism in Eukaryota, Metazoa, Arthropoda, Malacostraca, Decapoda, Penaeidae. The transcript has 4 exons.
CGUCGGCGGGAGAGGUUCUGCUCAUUUGCUUUGAGAAAUUCACUGCCAAGUUCCGAGUGUUGUUGGAAGUCUGUAACGCGUUGCAGGACGAUAUUGUUUUGUUGUUAUUUUGAUUUUGAUUUUCCCAGUUGGUUGUGGAAAUACACCGGAAGCGAUUUUUAAGGGAGAGACUCAUUAAUAUUCUUUUCUUUUUUUGGGGAGUUGAUUUGUAUACCAUGUAAGAAAUGUCUAGAAAAGAAGAAGAAAAAGAAGAAGAAAAAAUUACGUAAAUUCACAGGAAGUAACGAAAUAAUUUUUGAAAUGAAACAAAAGCAAGAAAAGUGUUAAAAAACGAUAAAGAAAGAAGAUAAUGAAGACGUUGUAGUGGUAGAAGAAUAAGAAGAAAAAGAAUAAGAAUAAGAAUAAGAAGAAGGGGAAAAAGGAGAAGAAGAAAACAUAGGAGAAGAAGACGAAGAAUAGGCAGUGGAGAAGGAGGAAAACAAAGCUAGAGAAGAAGAAGACGAAGAAGAGGAAGUGGAGAAGAAGAAAGAAGAAGAAAGCGACGGAGAAUAAUAAUAAAGCGAAGGAGAGAGAGAAGAGGAAAAAAGAAGAAGAAACAAACGUUUAGAAUUAAAGAAGAAAAAAAGAGCAGGAGAAGAGAAAACAAAGACGGGGAAUAAGAGAAAGGUAAAAAAAAAAAAAGAAAACAAAUAUUCGAAGGAAAAUGAAGAAAAAUUUCACCUUUCGAUUUCCAUCACAGGUUUAUUAUUUACCAGAGGAGGUCAACUUCUGGACGAUGGCGAUCGUGGCGGUCGGGACGGGGUUUAUCAUCACAGUUGCCGUUACCAUUUACCUCAUAUUACAGACGAGGUUGGAGAGACCACAACCAGUCCGUCACCAAAGAAUCAACCAUUUUCCAGACAUGUUCCUUAACCUUGAGGAUCUCUAUUGUCACUCUCCCCCGACGCCUGUUCAUCGCUGGAACGUGAACAGGGCUGCGAGAGAUUCAUGAUGUCUUUACAGUCCCAUGUUAAUUUUUUCGUUGUAUUUGAAGAUUUUUUUUUCCAUUUUUUUUUUUUCGAUAUGAUUGUCUAUCUGUCUGUCUGUCUGCCUGUCUCUCUCUUUCUCUCUCUCUCUC